AUUUAAUUAGUUAUGCUUAUCUAAUGUUAUCUUCCUCAAGUAACCCCUGAAAAAGAAAACAAAAUCUGUAAUUUGUAUCCAGAAAUUAACAUUAAUUGCAGAUGCUGUAUCCUCGUUUUCGCAGGGUUCUUUUCAAAGGAUGCUGUUCAAAGGAAACAUCACUCUGUUCAAAUUGUGCUGGCAUGACACAGGCCAACCACAAGGCAUCAUGCAAAUGAGGCCAGCGAGCUCUGUUCAGUGUGCUUUACUGCUGUCUGCCUGGUUGUUAUAGUGAUAAGCCGAGGCCCUGAGCCUCUCCGAUCCUACUUUUAAGAUUUCACAGCAACCUUCUUUUUUUCUCCAGGGAUAAUUAGAGGAAGGAAGAAAAAAAAAAUUACAUCACGAAGAAUACCCGAGAGGAUAUCUUUAGAUUGGAGAGCACUGAGAGGAGCCUGUUCUGGCCAUGCCAGUUCUCAGCAUUGAUGCUGAGUCAGAAAUAGGUAUCCCAAAAUCCCUUUGUGAUGAACUUCCCUUAAAAGCCAUGGAGGAAUUAGAGCACACUUGCCCUCAGCCUCGCUUGGUAAGUAGACAGAAAAUGUUCCAUCCGCCUGUGAGUGAAACACAAAGGAUUUAAAGAAAGCCGUGCUUGCAGAUGCAUUGUGUAAACAAGUAAGCUGCAGAUUAAUCCAUC
Non-coding RNA from Pelobates cultripes (western spadefoot toad), 670 nucleotides. Lineage: Eukaryota; Metazoa; Chordata; Amphibia; Anura; Pelobatidae. The record is from the annotation of a GenBank genome assembly.